RNAcentral lists this ribosomal RNA (593 nucleotides) under Diderma chondrioderma. RNAcentral describes it as "partial 18S ribosomal RNA". It matches the Rfam family "Eukaryotic small subunit ribosomal RNA", at positions 1 to 557 of the family's 1831-position model. Lineage: Eukaryota; Evosea; Eumycetozoa; Physariida; Didymiaceae. The record is from RNAcentral.
AACCUGGUUGAUCCUGCCAGUAGUGUACGCUUCUCCUAAAGACUAAGCCAUGCAUGCAUCCGAAUAAGAGGAAGCAAUUCUCUCUGAAUCUGCGAACGGCUCCGCACACCAGUUGUAAACUAUAGCAAGUUCGCUCGGCAUCCGGCCCUCACGGGUUGGGAGCCGGGCUCCAAGGAUAACCCUGGUAAUUCUGAGGCUAAUACGAGACCGUAAAACCUGGCUGACGGGCAACCGGAGGCCGGGGGACGUGUGUUGUUGUGCAAGAAGAUUGCCGGGAAAGGAGACACGUUCAGACCGCGACAAAGACGGAUCGGCUUCGGCCGGCCCGAGCGGCUCUUGCAAUGUGCUUCUGACCUAUCAACUAGAUGGCAGCGUAAGGGACAUGCUAUGGUUGCAACGGGUACAGAGGAUUAGGGUUCGAUCCUGGAGAGUGGGCCUGAGAGAUUGCUCAUACUUCUAAGGAAGGCAGCAGGCGCGCAACGUUCCCAUUGGACAAUGUCCGAGGGCGUUAGGGGACAUAUGAAUGCCUGCCAUUGGUGGGCAAUNNNNNNNNNNNNNNNNNNNNNNNNNNNUCGAGUAACAAUUAGAGGACA